AGAGUUUGAUCAUGGCUCAGGACGAACGCUGGCGGCGUGCUUAACACAUGCAAGUCGAGCGGAAAGGCCACUUCGGUGGUACUCGAGCGGCGAACGGGUGAGUAACACGUGAGUAAUCUGCCCCUGGCUUUGGGAUAGCCACCGGAAACGGUGAUUAAUACCGGAUACGACCACUUCUCGCAUGGGAUGGUGGUGGAAAGUUUUUCGGCCAGGGAUGUGCUCGCGGCCUAUCAGCUUGAUGGUGAGGUAAUGGCUCACCAUGGCUUCGACGGGUAGCCGGCCUGAGAGGGUGACCGGUCACACUGGGACUGAGACACGGCCCAGACUCCUACGGGAGGCAGCAGUGGGGAAUAUUGGACAAUGGGCGGAAGCCUGAUCCAGCAACGCCGCGUGAGGGAUGACGGCCUUCGGGUUGUAAACCUCUUUCGGUGGGGACGAAGCGCAAGUGACGGUACCCACUAAAGAAGCACCGGCCAACUACGUGCCAGCAGCCGCGGUAAUACGUAGGGUGCGAGCGUUGUCCGGAAUUAUUGGGCGUAAAGGGCUCGUAGGCGGUUUGUCGCGUCGGGAGUGAAAACCAGGUGCUUAACACCUGGCUUGCUUUCGAUACGGGCAGACUAGAGGUAUGCAGGGGAGAACGGAAUUCCUGGUGUAGCGGUGAAAUGCGCAGAUAUCAGGAGGAACACCGGUGGCGAAGGCGGUUCUCUGGGCAUGACCUGACGCUGAGGAGCGAAAGUGUGGGGAGCGAACAGGAUUAGAUACCCUGGUAGUCCACACCGUAAACGUUGGGCGCUAGGUGUGGGAUCCAUUCCACGGGUUCCGUGCCGCAGCUAACGCAUUAAGCGCCCCGCCUGGGGAGUACGGCCGCAAGGCUAAAACUCAAAGGAAUUGACGG
Molecule: ribosomal RNA, 895 nt
Filed under: uncultured bacterium
Lineage: Bacteria
Description: bacterial SSU rRNA
Rfam family: Bacterial small subunit ribosomal RNA
Source: RNAcentral